GAGUUUGAUCAUGGCUCAGAUUGAACGCUGGCGGCAGGCCUAACACAUGCAAGUCGAACGGUAACAGGAAACAGCUUGCUGUUUCGCUGACGAGUGGCGGACGGGUGAGUAAUGUCUGGGAAACUGCCUGAUGGAGGGGGAUAACUACUGGAAACGGUAGCUAAUACCGCAUAACGUCGCAAGACCAAGAGGGGGACCUUCGGGCCUCUUGCCAUCAGAUGUGCCCAGAUGGGAUUAGCUAGUAGGUGGGGUAACGGCUCACCUAGGCGACGAUCCCUAGCUGGUCUGAGAGGAUGACCAGCCACACUGGAACUGAGACACGGUCCAGACUCCUACGGGAGGCAGCAGUGGGGAAUAUUGCACAAUGGGCGCAAGCCUGAUGCAGCCAUGCCGCGUGUAUGAAGAAGGCCUUCGGGUUGUAAAGUACUUUCAGCGGGGAGGAAGGGAGUAAAGUUAAUACCUUUGCUCAUUGACGUUACCCGCAGAAGAAGCACCGGCUAACUCCGUGCCAGCAGCCGCGGUAAUACGGAGGGUGCAAGCGUUAAUCGGAAUUACUGGGCGUAAAGCGCACGCAGGCGGUUUGUUAAGUCAGAUGUGAAAUCCCCGGGCUCAACCUGGGAACUGCAUCUGAUACUGGCAAGCUUGAGUCUCGUAGAGGGGGGUAGAAUUCCAGGUGUAGCGGUGAAAUGCGUAGAGAUCUGGAGGAAUACCGGUGGCGAAGGCGGCCCCCUGGACGAAGACUGACGCUCAGGUGCGAAAGCGUGGGGAGCAAACAGGAUUAGAUACCCUGGUAGUCCACGCCGUAAACGAUGUCGACUUGGAGGUUGUGCCCUUGAGGCGUGGCUUCCGGAGCUAACGCGUUAAGUCGACCGCCUGGGGAGUACGGCCGCAAGGUUAAAACUCAAAUGAAUUGACGGGGGCCCGCACAAGCGGUGGAGCAUGUGGUUUAAUUCGAUGCAACGCGAAGAACCUUACCUGGUCUUGACAUCCACGGAAGUUUUCAGAGAUGAGAAUGUGCCUUCGGGAACCGUGAGACAGGUGCUGCAUGGCUGUCGUCAGCUCGUGUUGUGAAAUGUUGGGUUAAGUCCCGCAACGAGCGCAACCCUUAUCCUUUGUUGCCAGCGGUCCGGCCGGGAACUCAAAGGAGACUGCCAGUGAUAAACUGGAGGAAGGUGGGGAUGACGUCAAGUCAUCAUGGCCCUUACGACCAGGGCUACACACGUGCUACAAUGGCGCAUACAAAGAGAAGCGACCUCGCGAGAGCAAGCGGACCUCAUAAAGUGCGUCGUAGUCCGGAUUGGAGUCUGCAACUCGACUCCAUGAAGUCGGAAUCGCUAGUAAUCGUGGAUCAGAAUGCCACGGUGAAUACGUUCCCGGGCCUUGUACACACCGCCCGUCACACCAUGGGAGUGGGUUGCAAAAGAAGUAGGUAGCUUAACCUUCGGGAGGGCGCUUACCACUUUGUGAUUCAUGACUGGGGUGAAGUCGUAACAAGGUAACCGUAGGGGGACCUGCGGUUG
This 1520-nucleotide ribosomal RNA is filed under the name metagenome. RNAcentral's name for it is "bacterial SSU rRNA". It matches the Rfam family "Bacterial small subunit ribosomal RNA". The record is from RNAcentral.